Molecule: ribosomal RNA, 305 nt
Filed under: uncultured bacterium
Lineage: Bacteria
Description: bacterial SSU rRNA
Rfam family: Bacterial small subunit ribosomal RNA
Source: RNAcentral
UCCCUACGGGGGGCAGCAGUGGGGAAUAUUGGGCAAUGGACGCAAGUCUGACCCAGCAACGCCGCGUGAAGGAAGAAGGCUUUCGGGUUGUAAACUUCUUUUAAGGGGGAAGAGCAGAAGACGGUACCCCUUGAAUAAGCCACGGCUAACUACGUGCCAGCAGCCGCGGUAAUACGUAGGUGGCAAGCGUUGUCCGGAUUUACUGGGUGUAAAGGGCGUGCAGCCGGAGAGACAAGUCAGAUGUGAAAACCAUGGACUCAACCUAUGGCCUGCAUUUGAAACUGUAGUUCUUGAGUACUGGAGAG